UCAUAUGGUAAAUUGGAACUGGGAC
RNAcentral lists this non-coding RNA (25 nucleotides) under Rattus norvegicus (Norway rat). The record is from RNAcentral. Lineage: Eukaryota; Metazoa; Chordata; Mammalia; Rodentia; Muridae.